Molecule: long non-coding RNA, 1693 nt
Organism: Ochlerotatus camptorhynchus
Lineage: Eukaryota; Metazoa; Arthropoda; Insecta; Diptera; Culicidae
Exons: 3
Source: RefSeq, a predicted model, not a curated record
CGCUGUGGAUGUGUAAAUUGCUAUCGUGGCACUUUGUUCAAUUGGCCAGCAAGUGUUUUUCUUCUGAAACCUGCCUUUAUUGGCAAAGGUGUGGGAAGAUGGGAUUUUCACCCAGCAAGUGGCUGUUUGAGAGCAUUCGGAAAGGAAUUUGAUUUGUGAUAGGCGUUGUUGGUAACUUGCAGUAAGGGAAAUUUGUAGUGUAACGGCGGAAAUUCGUUUCGAAAGCGCACCUAGUGAAAGAUGCUAUUUUUAUUUCAUUCAUUGAAGUAUCCUAACAGUGCAGUGAACAAGACGUAAACUAUUUCAACACGGACGGGGCUCGCCGCUGCAGUGACACAAAUUUCAUGCGUUAUGGUAAACCAUUAGAGUCAUUGCCAUCCAUAGCGAAAGACGAAAAACCGAUAUUACGAAAUGCAACAGCUAUGAGAGAAAUGAAUCUAUCCAGAGCUAUCUAGGACGAGUGAAAAAGUCAUGUGCUUAUCCACCUGCUGAGAGGAUGAAUCCAUCAAAGAUUUAUUUGUGUUAGUGAGUGACUGGAAAAAACCUCUACGCUGAGGAAGUGGAUUUUUUCUGACUUUGCUCCCGAGAUUGUCACUUGCGUUGGGAGUCUCCGAAAGAGAAUCUGUCUCUGAGUGAAUGUGACUCUGAAAUCAUCCCCUAUUCGUUUAGUUGUAUGUGUGCAAAAGUCAUGGCAACGGUUCUUGCAAAUGAUUCAUAAUUGUUAGUCUUGGAGUGAUGGUACAACGUGAAAGAAAUCAAACCGUACUUUGCCUAGUGAACAUCAUGAAGAUUUUUCAUUUCUUUGAAUAAAAAACUCCUCAAUGUCUGAUAUUUUUCGUUGAAAGCAGUGAUGGUAAAAUUAGAGAAUAAAAGGGUAACAAGUGUUAUUUAAAAUAAAAAGAAAGUUCUGUUCACCUCUCUUGGCAUCUUUUUCGGAAGUGUGAAAAUGUACUCGUCAGGAUGGAAUACACCUUCGCUUGACAUGCUGUUUAAAAACUAGGAACUAUAUGGAAAAAAUAAAUACAAGGAACUACAAUAGAUAAUGAUUUAUAUUACGUGUUAUCCUGUUGAAGUUGAAUCAACUUUGUAAAGUUCAUGUUGGUGUAAUUACUAAAUUUGUUAUCGUUCGUUGCAUUGACUUACGGAAACUUCGAAAGCAUCGUGUUGAGACGAAGAAAACGUGCGUUAAAUUGUGUUAUAGCUUGGAAAUUGUCAUUGGUCAGCAGAGAGCAAUCAAGUUCUUCUAUGAUGGGCUGCCUAAAUAGAUUUUCGUCGACUAGAGUAGCAUUGAGAUGUGAUAUGUUGUUGCGUCCCCUGGUGAAUGUGUCCAUUCUAGUGUUGGUGUUAAAUAUCAAUGUAGUGAGUGGAUAUAAUCAGUUACAUAUCGGUGGAAUUUUUCCAAUUAACGGCAAAGGAGGCUGGCAAGGUGGUCAGGCCUGUAUGCCAGCUGCUAAGCUAGCUCUUCAGGAUGUUAACGAGAAGGAGGAUCUCUUACCGGGAUUUAACUUGACACUUCAUAGCAACGAUAGUGAGGUAAGUCUAUUCAAAGCAUCCCAAUGCAAGAAAAUCCUGUGAUUCAUAUAUAAACUAAAGUAAUCUGAAGACCAAUCAAAAACUUUUUGCUCAAAAAUGUUGCAAAAGUUACUAUUCCGACGGAACUAUUUUCUACUAAUUAGUUACACCAAGCAUAACC